GGUUCAGGACGAACGCUGGCGGCGUGCUUCAUACAUGCAAGUCGAACGAGAAGUUACCUUCGGGUAAUGGAAAGUGGCGGACGGGUGGGUAAUGUGUAGAGAAUCUGCCCUAGAGUGGGGGACAACAGUUGGAAACGACUGCUAAUACCGCAUAUGCGCGUAGCUGAGAUGCUAUUCGUGAAAACUAAGGUGCUCUGGGAUGAGUCUGCAUCUGAUUAGCUAGUUGGCGGUGUAAUGGACCACCAAGGCGACGAUCAGUAGCUGGUUUGAGAGGAUGAUCAGCCACAAUGGGACUGAGACACGGCCCAUACUCCUACGGGAGGCAGCAGUAGGGAAUUUUGCGCAAUGGGGGAAACCCUGACGCCAGCAACGCCGCGUGAUUGAAUAAGCCCUUCGGGGUGUAAAGAUCUGUCAGUGGGGACGAAACUUGACGGUACCCACAGAGGAAGCAUCGGCUAACUCCGUGCCAGCAGCGGC
RNAcentral lists this ribosomal RNA (477 nucleotides) under uncultured bacterium. RNAcentral's name for it is "bacterial SSU rRNA". It matches the Rfam family "Bacterial small subunit ribosomal RNA", at positions 21 to 518 of the family's 1533-position model. The record is from RNAcentral.